UAGGGAAUCUUCGGCAAUGGACGGAAAGUCUGACCGAGCAACGCCGCGUGAGUGAAGAAGGUUUUCGGAUCGUAAAACUCUGUUGGUAGAGAAGAACGUUGGUGAGAGUGGAAAGCUCAUCAAGUGACGGUAACUACCCAGAAAGGGACGGCUAACUACGUGCCA
Molecule: ribosomal RNA, 165 nt
Filed under: uncultured bacterium
Lineage: Bacteria
Description: partial 16S rRNA
Rfam family: Bacterial small subunit ribosomal RNA
Source: RNAcentral